This 104-nucleotide ribosomal RNA is filed under the name Caerostris darwini. The record is from RNAcentral. Lineage: Eukaryota; Metazoa; Arthropoda; Arachnida; Araneae; Araneidae.
UACCAUGCUGAAUAUACCGGUUCUCGUUAGAUCACCGAAGUCAAGCAUCAUUGGGCGCGGUCAGUACUUGGGUGGGUGACCACCUGGGAACAUCGCGUGCUGUU